UGGAGUGUUGUGCUGUCUCUUUCUGGCCAUCUGCCGUGUUGUUCUGUUGCCACGAAGAGAGAGGGUUCGAUCAAUAGUUUGCAUAAAAAGAGAGGUACAGUAUCGAUUUGAUCCAAGAAACAUAAAAAGAGAGAGAUAGAUAGAGGGCCAAGAGUUUGCAUGACCGGCGAUUUCAGUUGUUUUGGCGCAGAGAUUUUGGUUGUCGUUUGCUGACGAGUUGUUUACUAUUUGGUUGGAGCGCAAGAAUUCUUUAGCUGAAAAAGUAGGAUUGUUCGAGGUUCAAUCUUCUCAGGAGUAUUUGGUUGGGAACAAACAAAGAAAGGAAGUAGGAUCAAUAUUCGGGAACCUCUCCUUCUGGAAAAACAGGUCCAAUGCUGGUUGGAAUUUAAGGUCCACCUCACCCGAUCCCAGCAUCAAGUAGAUUUUGGUAAGAUUUUUUUUAAUUUUCUACCUACAGGACUUCUCAAUGUGCAUGCAUCCCUAAAUUACAGUGUUAACCUAUCUCAAGUUUCUGGAAUGUUUACUCAUCAUUUAAGUCAUCAACUGUGAAAAGGCUAGCACUAGGAGCUACCAAAGGUUUUUUUUUUUUUUUUUUUUUUUUUUUUUGCAAAUACAGAGAUAUAGCAACCUGUUAAACCAAUAUCUCCAGCAAUAAAGCCUUAUUAUUGUUACAAGUAUAUGCUAUGCUUUUUGUUAUUUAUAAUUACUGAUCACUACACAAAAAUUUUGAAAACAAAUCAUCAAUGGACCUAUGGAGAAACGUAUGGGAUUAUAUUUAGAUCUUCAAGGACCAUCCAAUUUAAUGGUUUAGUUGUCUGAGCUAAUGUCCUUUUGAAUUUCAUUGAUCUGAAUGCACAAUUCAGUUGGGAUUGCAAUGAAUUUGUGUUCUUUGUUUCCAUGUUCAAAUCAGAUGUAUUAUAGAUUUAGAGUGAUAGGACCUGCAUUUUGGUAUUCAAAAUCUAAACUGAUGCUUUAUGAGGUUUAACUUGGGUAUUAGUUUGUUUAUUAUGUUGGGGAUGUUAUAGUUUAGGGAUUCAAUAUGUAAUUGUAUGGAAUAAACUGAUAUAAACUCUGCUUUAGCCCAUAAUAUUAUCAGCCUCUUGCUUUUGGAGUUUUGAUAAUAACUUUCUUCUGUAUCAACUAAUAAGAUGGUAAAGACCAACAAAAUAAGUCCAUCUAUGCUUUCUGUUUGUUUAAUUGUGUUGAUUUGUAUGUAAUGUUUUAUUUAGGUACCAGCAAUUCUUUAGCUUUCAUGGCAAAGUUGAUCUCUUUGUCUUUUGUGUACAAGAUUGCUUUCAUAUUGUACUUGGUCUGACUAUUCUUGCUGUUAGCCACUUUUGUUAUUCUUUUCAUGUUUUUGUUUUCGAGUAUGCAGCUCUAAAGCUCAAAAGAUCAAUUCAUUAGUAUUUAGAUUAUAAAGAAUGAGAUCUUGAAGCCAAUUACAUGGAUGCAAAAUGUUAAAACCAACAGCUAAAAAUUGAUGGAUCAAUCUGCUAUUGGGUUGUCUCCUUGGAAAAGGGCAUUGUGUGCUUCUUAGACAAGCAGAGCUAAAAACAUUGGUGGAUCUGCAUGCGAAUGAGGUUUGCUUCUUACUAAAUGCAUAGAGCAAACAAGUUGAAGGAAAUUUGUCUUUUGUGACAGACUUCUGUUAUGCAAAGCAAAGCCAGGGAAAUGUGGAGAUUUGUUGCAUCAUGAAAGUACGACUAUUGGUGAUGCUUUGGAUUUGAUGCAGAAAACUGUUGCUCUGUGCCUUUUCUUUUCUGGGUGUUGCUUGAUUCUCUGGAUUCAUGCUUAUUUGUGGUUGCAUGUUGAUUUUGCAGGUGAGGCUUACUCUUGAGGAAAGGAGAGGAGACAAUAUGUGGGUUCUGCUGAUACACAGCAAAAGAGAGGAGAUGAGAGGAGGGACAAGGGGAUGGGAAGAGCAUGAAUCUGGUAUUUGAUUGUUAACGCAUCAGGUGAAAGUCAUUUAGUUUGUAAUUGUCUCUUUGACUGGAUGGGAUGUGCUUAUCUUUAGUGGAUACAAGUUUUUCACCAGAGACAAAGGCAAGAAGGAAGAGCUUCAGAGUCACUCUUCUCAUUGAAGAUGAGACUGAUCAAGCACAUGCAGUCUUAACGGGCAAAGAAGCAGAAGAAAUCUGUGGAAUCUCAUGUGAGGACUUGAUUAUCAUGAAAAACUGCA
Rosa chinensis is the source of this 2179-nucleotide long non-coding RNA. RefSeq lists it as uncharacterized. The record is from RefSeq and is a predicted model, not a curated record. NCBI's taxonomy places the organism in Eukaryota, Viridiplantae, Streptophyta, Magnoliopsida, Rosales, Rosaceae. The transcript has 5 exons.